RNAcentral lists this ribosomal RNA (884 nucleotides) under uncultured bacterium. RNAcentral's name for it is "bacterial SSU rRNA". It matches the Rfam family "Bacterial small subunit ribosomal RNA", at positions 8 to 915 of the family's 1533-position model. The record is from RNAcentral.
AGAGUUUGAUCAUGGCUCAGGAUAAACGCUGGCGGCGUGCUUUAUGCAUGCAAGUCGAACGGUCUCGAUUUGUCGAGAUAGUGGCGAACGGGUGAGUAACGCGUAAGCAACCUGCCCCUAAGUAGGGGAUAACUCUGAGAAAUUGGAGCUAAUACCUUAUGUGGUGGUGGAGGUAAGGCUCCAUCACUAAAGCCUUAGGGUGCUUGGGGAGGGGCUUGCGUCCGAUUAGCUAGUUGGUAGGGUAACGGCUUACCAAGGCGAUGAUCGGUAGCUGGUUUGAGAGGACGACCAGCCACAUUGGGACUUAGACACGGCCCAGACUCCUAUGGGAGGCAGCAGCAAGGAAUAUUGUGCAAUGGGCGAAAGCCUGACACAGCGACGCCGCGUGGGGGAUGAAGGCCUUCGGGUUGUAAACCCCUUUUCUCAGGGAAGAAUAAUGACGGUACCUGAGGAAUAAGUCUUGGCUAACUACGUGCCAGCAGCCGCGGUAAUACGUAGGAGGCGAGCGUUAUCCGGAUUUACUGGGCGUAAAGAGGGCGUAGGCGGUUCAUCAAGUCGGAUGUGAAAUCUCCCGGCCUAACUGGGAGGGGUCAUUCGAUACUGUUGGGCUAGAGGGCAGCAGAGGGAGGCGGAAUUCCCGGUGUAGUGGUGAAAUGCGUAGAUAUCGGGAGGAACACCAGUGGCGAAGGCGGCCUUCUGGGCUGUUUCUGACGCUGAGGCCCAAAAGCGUGGGGAGCGAACAGGAUUAGAUACCCUGGUAGUCCACGCCGUAAACUAUGGACACUAGGUAUAGGGAGUAUCGACCCUUUCUGUGCCGAAGCUAACGCUUUAAGUGUCCCGCCUGGGGACUACGGCCGCAAGGCUAAAACUCAAAUGAAUUGACG